UACGGAGGGUGCAAGCAUUAAUCGGAUUUAUUGGGCGUAAAGGGCGCGUAGGCGGUAUAGAAAGUCAGAUGUGAAAUUCCGGGGCUCAACCUCGGAACAGCAUAUGAAACUUCUAUCCUAGAGGAUAGUCGGAGGAAACGGAAUUCCACAAGUAGCGGUGAAAUGCGUAGAUAUGUGGAAGAACACCAGUGGCGAAGGCGGUUUCCUAGAUUAGACCUGACGCUAAAGCGCGAAAGCAAGGGGAUCAAACAGG
RNAcentral lists this ribosomal RNA (253 nucleotides) under uncultured bacterium. RNAcentral's name for it is "partial 16S ribosomal RNA". It matches the Rfam family "Bacterial small subunit ribosomal RNA", at positions 524 to 776 of the family's 1533-position model. The record is from RNAcentral.